GAUCAGGUGGCCGAGUGGUUAAGGCGAUGGACUGCUAAUCCAUUUGGGGUUUCCCCGCGUGAGUUCGAAUCUCAUCCUGAUCG
This 83-nucleotide transfer RNA is filed under the name Anisakis simplex (herring worm). It matches the Rfam family "tRNA". Rfam says of the family: Transfer RNA (tRNA) molecules are approximately 80 nucleotides in length. Their secondary structure includes four short double-helical elements and three loops (D, anti-codon, and T loops). Lineage: Eukaryota; Metazoa; Nematoda; Chromadorea; Rhabditida; Anisakidae. The record is from Rfam by way of RNAcentral.